Molecule: transfer RNA, 84 nt
Filed under: Candidatus Pacearchaeota archaeon
Lineage: Archaea; Nanobdellati
Description: tRNA-Leu
Rfam family: tRNA
About the family: Transfer RNA (tRNA) molecules are approximately 80 nucleotides in length.
Source: RNAcentral
GCGAGAGUGCCGGAGUGGUCAAAUGGGGUAGACUCAAAAUCUACUGGCUUAGUGCCUACGAAGGUUCGAAUCCUUUCUCUCGCA